This 253-nucleotide ribosomal RNA is filed under the name uncultured bacterium. RNAcentral's name for it is "partial 16S ribosomal RNA". It matches the Rfam family "Bacterial small subunit ribosomal RNA", at positions 524 to 776 of the family's 1533-position model. The record is from RNAcentral.
UACGUAUGGUGCAAGCGUUAUCCGGAUUUACUGGGUGUAAAGGGAGCGUAGACGGCGUAUCAAGUCUGAUGUGAAAGGCAUGGGCUCAACCCGUGGACUGCAUUGGAAACUGGUAUGCUUGAGUGCCGGAGGGGUAAGCGGAAUUCCUAGUGUAGCGGUGAAAUGCGUAGAUAUUAGGAGGAACAUCGGUGGCGAAGGCGGCUUACUGGACGGUAACUGACGUUGAGGCACGAAAGCGUGGGGAUCGAACAGG